CCUGGAUGGAGCCCUUGGACCUAUGCUAUAGUUCUGUCAGCCCUGUCACUGACCCUUUCUGCCUUAGCUCGAGAUGGAAUCCUCUAGGUGGACCCUGGCCCUGGCUCAUCUCCUUACCCUUUUGGGGCCAUCAAUCAACUUCUGUUACUUUCUGAGCCUACUCACUAUGCUUGGCUCCUAGAGGAUGAUGCCUGUUGUUGAGAACAUGGCCAAGGCUGGGGUCACCCUUGGUGCCCAGUUCCCCAUCUCCAAGUGAGCAGCUGGCCCGUCUGUUAUCCCAACACCCUCCAUUGGAACUGGAGGUGACAGAAGCUCCUCGCAAUUUUAAUAUGGGCUCUUUGAAACUCUCUGCAGGCCUCAUGGUCAGAGGGAUAUGUUUAGGGCCCUCCACAGUGAACCUGAAGACAAGGAUAUCAGAAGACAAAUAGACCUCCAGGUUUUCUAGGGAAAGGACAGCUCCACAAUGAGGUUAUGGACAGCUUUGGAAAGUACAACACAGAAGUUCUACUGAAGUUGUCCCCCUUUCGAUCAACGUGGGGUUUUCCCCACCCCACACUUUCUAGCUCUUCCAAGCAUGGAAACUGGGAAACAAUGGAAAAAAUGAGGCAGCCUGCCCUCUCAGAAGACAUUUUGUAAUGUCACUCUGCUUGCCUGCUCACAGCCCGCAGGUGAUGUUGAUCGUGUUUACAGGAAAUGCCGUGAGUAAUUUGCAAAGUGAAAGCAGCUUACACUGGGUGAGGGCCUGUCUGAUGGAACAGAGCCAUGCUGCGUUUCUGGGCUCAUGGGCUGGAGAGGAGCAGCCUGGGAGGAGGUUGUGUAACAAUUCUUCCAAUACUGGUGUAUUGGAAGGACAGCUUGAGGCCAAUGUGACUCUGUCAAAAGGCCUUGCUUAGCAUUGCCACCUUCCUGGAGGAGGCAAAUUCUAGACCCUUUUACACCUCAUCCUUUUUGCCCUCACUCUCUUGUAUAAUCUUGAAUCCAAGAUGCAGCACAGCCUCAGCCCAACAGAACAUACAAGUUAUCUCCUGAAGGACUUGAGGCACCUCUGUCUCUCUCUUCUGGAUGUGGCUCUGGGCAGCCUGGUCUGGUGGUUGGCGACCCUGCACAUAGCAGGGGGGUUGAAACUACAUGAUCAUUGUGGUCCUUUUCAACCCAGGCCAUUCUAUGAUUCUAUGAUUCUCCCUACAUCCUUCUCCUUCCCCCAGUGUAACACUCUACUAACUGCACUCUCCAGACACAAUCUGGAAAGCAUAAGCACCACAGUGCAGAAAAGGCUUGUGCAUCCUUUGCAGAUGCCUACAGCUCCUGGAGACAGCAUGUGGCUGCUGAGCUCCCCAGGUAGUCCUGCUCAUGGCUCGGUGCAAUUCCUGAGUGUGCUGGGAGACCUCCUCCCUUCCCAUGUUUCCUUGAAAUCCUCUACUUCUCAGUCAGAGUGCAAAUCUGGGUUAUAUCAUGUAAUUUCUUCCCAGUAAAUGCUGGUCUCUCCACUCACUCUUUGCAUCACCCACUGUCUGCUGUGGUUCCCAGGCUGGUUGUGUUUUUUUUCCCAGCCUGUGAAGGUCUGACGAUGCUAGUGAAAUUACACAAGGCACAAAUGAGGAGAAUGGAGUAGAAGCCCAAAGAUGUGCCUCCUAGCAGGAUUUAUCUGGGGAGCUCCUUCCCUGUCCGCAGGUUCCUUAGGAUGUGUCUCAAUGGGCAGGUGAGGGCAGACCCAAAUUAAUUGCACCCACACCACAUCACUCAGGUGCAAGGCACUUCUAGCCCAGAAGCUGUGUGACUCUGCAGGCAGCACUGUGCCAACAUGGGGCAAAACCUGCAGUUUGGCUCAAUACCCACCUGGCGUUGGAUGCAAACAAACCUGUGAGUCCUACACCAAGUCUACAUCUUGGCCUGCCUUCUUCAGUUCACUCCGUUGGUACAGCUGGGCUCUCAGUGAACCAGAAAGUGUGAGGUUUGCCAGAACUGAAGAGCGUGUGAAUGGGUUUGUGAAGGUGAGGGAAAAACGUGUAUUUUUUUUUUUAAACCUGAAAAACUAGCUUACCUGUGCAUCAUAAUAGGGAUUUUGGAAUUGAGACUAUUGUAAUGGUUGUGGGCUAGAGUCAUUAGAGCAGUGCUGUGCUACUGGGACACUUAUAGGCUACCUCCACACUUACCAUUGCUCAGAAGACAGACAUUCUCUUCUCCCUUUAGCUAAGCCUGCCUGAACUGGAGGGCUUUUGCAUGACUGUGAAGGAAAGAGCUUAAUUCUUCUUUAUGACCUGCUUCAAAUAAAGCUACAGCAACCAAAUGGACCGUGCUGUGUGAAACCCAACAUCAUGCUCGUGUGAGUCAAAUAUCCCCCUCUGGUGCUGGAGAGUUCAGCUAAAGAGCAAACAACGGUAAACACCAGCAGCUGAAAGUGGGUGUUCUUUUGCUUUCUUCAUGGCAACAGCCCAGCAGACUGACGGAGAUCAAAAAUUACCUUAUCACCUGGAGGUCUGCAGAGAAGCCAAGAGAUGUUGAAACCUCCCACCACCUCCAACAUCAAAGGCUGCAGCAGGUAUCUUUCCAGGUGCUUUUUCACAGCCAGCCUCAGUGAAAGCUCCCAUUCAAAAGGCAGUAACUCGGGAACAUUAGGUGUAGCUUCUGGUGGCUGAACCGGUUAAAGUUACCCUUCAAUGUCACCAGAAUAGCACACUAAAAGGGGAAAUUCAAGGAGGAAAACAAAAAGAGUCCUACCUAGGGGAUUGGCUGCUUUACAGGGGCUGGUAAUGAGAUCAUACUGCCAUGAUUCAAGGUCACAAAUUUGACUUUAGAUAAGGUGUAGCAACAGCCUCAAUCUGUAAUGGUGACUGUUCAGCAGCCUGUGUGACAUUAAUGGGUAGUCUCUUGUAGCCUUUUAAUUUAACAAGGUGAUUGCUAUAAGUUUUGUAAAAAAAUACCUCCAAACACAACUACUAAAAUGAGCUGGCGUGUGAUAGUGAACAACAAAGUUCACUGAAGCCUUUUGUACUGAUGCAUUGAAUGAUGAUGUAUUCACACCACUUUGCUGUUCUUUGUUAGAGCUUUAGGGCAGAGAUGUUAACAAAGGAUGUUCUGUAUAUUUGCAACAUAACAAAAUAAAAGAUUUUUUUUCCAGUAGGGCAUAACUACUAUCACAUAUGACUCUAACUUUAAAUGUGCCAUAAGGUAGCAGCACUGUCCAGAAGCUAGGCCUCUUCUACCUUUCAGCUUGCUGAGAACAACUUGUCUGAAAAGAUGCAGGCUGCUUUCUGCUCUGUACCUUUGUGCAGGGAGAAUUCAGAGUUCCUGGUGCAGUCCCAUCGUGCUGUGCUCGCCUCCUUUAGAGUUCACUGUAUUAAAGAUGAAGGUAUUGGUAACAUUCAAUUUCAGCUUUCAUAUAUAUAUAUUUUACCUAUUGUAAAAUACUUUCAGUACUGCUGUACUGCAGCAGCCUAUUCAUUUAUGUGCUUUUAGGCACCUUUGGGUAACAGAAAUUACACCUAUCAGCAACAAUGGAAUGACAGACCAAAAACAAACCUAUCAAAUCUCUCAUUUCUGUAAAAGCAGGGCGAAAAAAGACUGAAAAUGGUGCCCUCUGCUUUCUGGUGAUCUUAUGCAUUCAUCAACAAGGUGCCCCAAAUCCAUUCUUAACUACGGCUAUAAUCUCGUGUAACAAAGGUACCUCCUGGGUACUGGUGAGAGACUUGUAGGAUGUGUUUAUUAUGAUUAAAUCUCUGAUAAGUUAAUUUUGGUUCUGGCAAAUAUUCCUAUGAUUUGCUCUGGGCAAACAAAAAAGCCACUAUACUUUGUUGCUGUAGGUGCAGUCCUGAUGUCUCAUUCUGUGUAUAAAACAGAGAUUUUUGAAUAUUGGAGAAUCUGCAGCCCAAAAAAGCCUGCUGGGGAGCAGAAGACACACUGGUAGGUGACAAAAACAGAGUUCACUGACUGCAGUUUGCAAAAUGCCAUAGGUUAUUUCUGUUUAUUGCCUGGGAUUGUACAAGAAGAUCAGAAUUUAAGCUUGGACGUUCUUGGAUAUUUUCCCCGUGAGAUUUGCGUCUGCACAGAGAGAAUGUUAUAAUAUGCUUUCUUCUCCUUGGAGAAGGGAUGAUAUCCCCUUGGCAACAUGAGUGAUCACUUAAAUGGAACAAUAACAUUAAGCAAGUGUUUGCAGAUGCCCUUCAGGGUGCUUUAGCAUCUGGAAACAAGAGAAGGAGUGGUAAGCAUUAUAUGGGUAAGCGAUUAGGAAG
RNAcentral lists this long non-coding RNA (4229 nucleotides) under Gallus gallus (chicken). RNAcentral's name for it is "lncRNA (ENSGALG00010014538.1)". Lineage: Eukaryota; Metazoa; Chordata; Aves; Galliformes; Phasianidae. The record is from RNAcentral.